GACGAACGCUGGCGGCGUGCUUAACACAUGCAAGUCGAACGAUGAAGCUGGAGCUUGCUCCAGUGGAUUAGUGGCGAACGGGUGAGUAACACGUGAGCAAUCUGCCCUUGACUCUGGGAUAACUGCGGGAAACUGUAGCUAAUACCGGAUACGACACCUUGGGGCAUCCCGGGGUGUGGAAAGAAUUUCGGUCAAGGAUGAGCUCGCGGCCUAUCAGCUUGUUGGUGAGGUAAAGGCUCACCAAGGCGACGACGGGUAGCCGGCCUGGGAGGGUGACCGGCCACCCUCGAACUGUGACACGGUCCAGACUCCUACGGGAGGCAGCAGUGGGGAAUAUUGCACAAUGGGCGAAAGCCUGAUGCAGCAACGCCGCGUGAGGGAUGACGGCCUUCGGGUUGUAAACCUCUUUUAGCAGGGAAGAAGCGAAAGUGACGGUACCUGCAGAAAAAGCACCGGCUAACUACGUGCCAGCAGCCGCGGUAA
RNAcentral lists this ribosomal RNA (483 nucleotides) under uncultured bacterium. Its description in RNAcentral is "partial 16S ribosomal RNA". It matches the Rfam family "Bacterial small subunit ribosomal RNA", at positions 28 to 523 of the family's 1533-position model. The record is from RNAcentral.